Molecule: long non-coding RNA, 1097 nt
Filed under: Rattus norvegicus (Norway rat)
Lineage: Eukaryota; Metazoa; Chordata; Mammalia; Rodentia; Muridae
Description: long non-coding RNA NONRATT025812
Source: RNAcentral
GAGCACCCGGGCCGCCGCGAGCAGCUCUCGGAAUCCUCGCCAGAUGCAACCUGGAGAGAUGGCGGAGACGGCCGCGGCGAACGCCUAGCACCGAGGGAGCGUGGCUGGGGAGAAAGUUAAAAGAGGAAAACAGAAAUUUUUUAAGUGGGGGAGGAUGGCGUGAGCAUGCAAGGCGGGAAUCUUAAAACUCCGAUCCCGAGAGCUGCGGGGCAGCAGGCACACUGGCAAAGCGAGUUCAGGUGGCGGCGAGCGACAGAGGACACCUGCGCGGACGCAGCAGGAUGCCCAGGGCGAGCGACGGGAGCCGGAGGUCCCCGCGGAUCGCACGCCGCCGCCCGGCUGGUGCAAGCUAACGGGAUGGGAGCCUUGGACGUCGGUGGACUUCUCUGGAAAAAUAGGCCCUAGGCAACGGGAAUGACCCCUAGGGGUUGGAAGCAAACAGGUGGCAGAGGCUUGCAGCCUGAAAGGUGAUGCCACUUUCCUGGCUUCCGGCUGUGAAGAGCAGACGCUUUUGGCCUCUUUAGGAAUUUUGCCACCUUUAGCCCGCCCCGAGAUUUGCAGGUGAGCAAGGCAACCGCGGCUUGCAGACACUUUGGAACUGCUACAGUUGCUUGAGAUUUGCUGUUAGUCCUUCGCCUUUCUACUUCGUCCUUGCUACUUUCAUAUCUACCCUGUGGAUGUACACCUUCAGCCUCUAUUCGCCUGACUUUUCUUUUGUAAGUUUAAAACAGCUUUUUACAUUUUAAAAAAAAAAUCAUAAAAUCAAACUUGAAAACUGUUUCAAGCUACGUUUGGAAGAAUGAAGGUUUUUUUUCGUUUUUUGUUUUUUUUUGUUUUUUGUACCCUCCUUUUCUUGCCUUGCAAGUCCCAGAUGAAUGAACUCAUGUUCCUGAUGAAUAACAAUUGCAGAAUCAUGGAAACGUUAAGCCCACUCUACCAGAAGUUAAAUACUUAGCUGGUACUGACUGAAUACAUUUGGACAGAGUUCUGACCGGUUAUGGUGACAUGUAUUUGCAAGCAAUGGGAAAGGAGACCUUUAGUGUCUUUUCUUCUUGAUGAAUAAAAAGGCUUCAGGAUUUAGAAAACUUUAAAAUCAC